GAUUAUGGCUCAGAUUGAACGCUGGCGGCAGGCUUAACACAUGCAAGUCGAACGGUAACAUAAAGAAGCUUGCUUCUUUGAUGACGAGUGGCGGACGGGUGAGUAAUGCUUGGGAAUCUAGCUUAUGGAGGGGGAUAACUACGGGAAACUGUAGCUAAUACCGCGUAGAAUCGAGAGAUGAAAGUGUGGGACCUUCGGGCCACAUGCCAUAGGAUGAGCCCAAGUGGGGAUUAGGUAGUUGGG
RNAcentral lists this ribosomal RNA (243 nucleotides) under uncultured bacterium. Its description in RNAcentral is "partial 16S ribosomal RNA". It matches the Rfam family "Bacterial small subunit ribosomal RNA", at positions 15 to 253 of the family's 1533-position model. The record is from RNAcentral.